Molecule: ribosomal RNA, 449 nt
Filed under: uncultured bacterium
Lineage: Bacteria
Description: bacterial SSU rRNA
Rfam family: Bacterial small subunit ribosomal RNA
Source: RNAcentral
AACGAACGCUGGCGGCAUGCCUAACACAUGCAAGUCGAACGAAGUCUUCGGACUUAGUGGCGCACGGGUGCGUAACGCGUGGGAAUCUGCCCUUGGGUGCGGAAUAACUUCUCGAAAGGGAUGCUAAUACCGCAUAAUGUCGUAAGACCAAAGAUUUAUCGCCCAAGGAUGAGCCCGCGUAAGAUUAGCUAGUUGGUGGGGUAAAAGCCUACCAAGGCGACGAUCUUUAGCUGGUCUGAGAGGAUGAUCAGCCACACUGGGACUGAGACACGGCCCAGACUCCUACGGGAGCAGCAGUGGGGAAUAUUGGACAAUGGGCGAAAGCCUGAUCCAGCAAUGCCGCGUGAGUGAUGAAGGCCCUAGGGUUGUAAAGCUCUUUUACCAGGGAUGAUAAUGACAGUACCUGGAGAAUAAGCUCCGGCUAACUCCGUGCCAGCAGCCGCGGUAAU